UACGUAGGGGGCAAGCGUUGUCCGGAUUUAUUGGGCGUAAAGAGCGUGUAGGCGGCCAAACAGGUCAGCUGUGAAAACUCGGGGCUCAACCUCGAGACGUCGGUUGAAACCGUUUGGCUAGAGUCCGGAAGAGGAGAGUGGAAUUCCCGGUGUAGCGGUGAAAUGCGCAGAUAUCGGGAAGAACACCCGUGGCGAAGGCGGCUCUCUGGGACGGUACUGACGCUGAGACGCGAAAGCGUGGGGAGCGAACAGG
RNAcentral lists this ribosomal RNA (253 nucleotides) under uncultured bacterium. Its description in RNAcentral is "partial 16S ribosomal RNA". It matches the Rfam family "Bacterial small subunit ribosomal RNA", at positions 524 to 776 of the family's 1533-position model. The record is from RNAcentral.